UACGAAGGGGGCUAGCGUUGCUCGGAAUCACUGGGCGUAAAGCGCACGUAGGCGGCUUUUUAAGUCAGGGGUGAAAUCCUGGAGCUCAACUCCAGAACUGCCUUUGAUACUGGGAAGCUUGAGUCCGGAAGAGGAGAGUGGAAUUCCCGGUGUAGCGGUGAAAUGCGCAGAUAUCGGGAAGAACACCCGUGGCGAAGGCGGCUCUCUGGGACGGUACUGACGCUGAGACGCGAAAGCGUGGGGAGCGAACAGG
RNAcentral lists this ribosomal RNA (253 nucleotides) under uncultured bacterium. RNAcentral's name for it is "partial 16S ribosomal RNA". It matches the Rfam family "Bacterial small subunit ribosomal RNA", at positions 524 to 776 of the family's 1533-position model. The record is from RNAcentral.